GGCAGUGUGGUGUAAUGCUGCACACAGGAAUUUCUUAGCAAUAAUCCACAUCUAUGUUUCUGAGAUCCUUGUUCGAAUCAAGGUGCUGCCU
Molecule: non-coding RNA, 91 nt
Organism: Mycena leptocephala
Lineage: Eukaryota; Fungi; Basidiomycota; Agaricomycetes; Agaricales; Mycenaceae
Source: the annotation of a GenBank genome assembly